This 673-nucleotide long non-coding RNA is filed under the name Salvia miltiorrhiza (redroot sage). Its description in RNAcentral is "long non-coding RNA (SMIL_LNC003174)". The record is from RNAcentral. Lineage: Eukaryota; Viridiplantae; Streptophyta; Magnoliopsida; Lamiales; Lamiaceae.
UUAGGAAAAGCGGGCUGACUGCCUCGGUCGGUUUGAGACUAAGACAACGACGGUAGGGGCAGGGGCGAACGAAGCUGACCGGUAUCGAGCCGAGCAGCGGCUGCUCUGCAGCGGCGAUCCAUUUCUUUCUGGAAAUUCGGACAGCGUCGACGGUGAAAUUAGAAGGCCUACUGUCACGCAGAACCUCAGCGCGACAACAGCAACAAUUUCACUCAACGAUUGCGGAGAAGAGGCAGUAGAGGCGGGCUGAAUUCUCAGAAUAGGAAGCUUGAAUCUCGGUUGCGGAUAUGUUGAAAGAUGAAACGAGGGGAGGAGAAGGUGAGCGAGGCCGACCGACUCCAGGCCGGAGCAGCACUAGAACGGCGACCAGCCAUCAGAUUCUGACGGAGACGCGGUGCAGCGGCGACCUGAUAUUUGACGAUUAGGGCUCGAAUUGGGGCUCUGCGGAGAGGAGAGUCCGACGCAGGAGAACGAACGAGACGCAGGCGGUUCGCCGGGAAUUGCAGCGGCGAUUGCGAUGUCAGGAAGGACCUAGGGCACGCCCUCUCACCUCGGACGAACUUCAGCAAGAGAGAAGAUACGGAGAUAGACGGGUGCGGUCGCGCCGGACCUAAACUCGGCGGUAGCCGACGCCGGUCGGAGCAGAGGCGGCGACUGAAAUCAUCGACUGAUG